Molecule: ribosomal RNA, 305 nt
Filed under: uncultured bacterium
Lineage: Bacteria
Description: partial 16S ribosomal RNA
Rfam family: Bacterial small subunit ribosomal RNA
Source: RNAcentral
ACAGCAGUCGCCACGGUAAUACGUAGGUGGCGAGCGUUGUCCGGAAUCAUUGGGCGUAAAGGGAGCGCAGGCGGGCAUGUAAGUCUUUCUUAAAAGUGCGGGGCUCAACCCCGUGAUGGGAAAGAAACUACAUGUCUUGAGUACAGGAGAGGAAAGCGGAAUUCCCAGUGUAGCGGUGAAAUGCGUAGAUAUUGGGAGGAACACCAGUGGCGAAGGCGGCUUUCUGGACUGCAACUGACGCUGAGGCUCGAAAGCCAGGGGAGCGAACGGGAUUAGAUACCCCUGUAGUCCCUGUCUCUUAUACC